UACGUAGGGUGCGAGCGUUGUCCGGAAUUAUUGGGCGUAAAGAGCUUGUAGGCGGUUUGUCGCGUCUGCCGUGAAAAUUCGAGGCUCAACCUCGAACUUGCGGUGGGUACGGGCAGACUAGAGUGUGGUAGGGGAGACUGGAAUUCCUGGUGUAGCGGUGAAAUGCGCAGAUAUCAGGAGGAACACCGGUGGCGAAGGCGGUCUGCUGGGCAGUUGCUGACACUGAGGCGCGACAGCGUGGGGAGCAAACAGG
This 253-nucleotide ribosomal RNA is filed under the name uncultured bacterium. RNAcentral describes it as "partial 16S ribosomal RNA". It matches the Rfam family "Bacterial small subunit ribosomal RNA", at positions 524 to 776 of the family's 1533-position model. The record is from RNAcentral.